RNAcentral lists this long non-coding RNA (515 nucleotides) under Polistes fuscatus (common paper wasp). RNAcentral's name for it is "uncharacterized LOC122521080". The record is from RNAcentral. Lineage: Eukaryota; Metazoa; Arthropoda; Insecta; Hymenoptera; Vespidae.
AUAAAUUGAAAAGAUUUAUUAUUUCGAUCAAAUGGUAUCAAAAGAAAGAAUUUUUUUCACCUUCAAUUGACGGCGAAUAAAAUUCCGUAUGCGAGAUAUAUCGAGGUUGGAAGGAAGAGAAGAAUAAAAAAAAAAAAAAUUCACACGCAUACAUGCACGUACACGUGCACGUGUACGCGUGCGCGCGCGCGCGCGCAGGUAGAGAAAGACACGUACGUACACAAAGAUGGUAAAAGAGCCUUGGCACGACCUUCGACUUCCGCAAGGGCUCGGUUUUUUCUCUGAAUGAGAACACGCGCAAGCGAAUUGCAUUUAAGAGAAUCCUCUUUUCUUAAAGGUUUUCCACCGUUGGUUGGUGCGACUAAGCUAGGUAUCGGAGAAAUAACAAUGCAAUAUGUCGAGGUGGAAAAAAAGAAAAAAAGAAAAUUAACGACAAUUUGAAGAAUUCGAUAACGUGUUUCAAUGAUACACCGUGGAAUUUAUCUAUUUGGCAAAGUAAUGGUUCAUUAUACAAA